UGGCACUAUGAAAGGAGGAAUUGUGCCACCAUUUUGCUAAUGAUAACCAACUAGCCCAAGUAGAUAGCUAUAAAUGGACCAGGCACCUCAAAUGUCCUUCUAAACGUUGAUUCACCCUCUCAUUUUGACCAUCCGACUGAGGGUGAUAAACUGAACUAAAAGCAAGAUUCACUCCCAUUUUCUUGAAUAAUUCUUGACAAAAAUUACUAGUAAAAAUUCUGUCCCUACCCGAAACAG
RNAcentral lists this unclassified non-coding RNA (237 nucleotides) under Hevea brasiliensis (rubber tree). The record is from RNAcentral. Lineage: Eukaryota; Viridiplantae; Streptophyta; Magnoliopsida; Malpighiales; Euphorbiaceae.